ACGGGAGGCAGCAGUGGGGGAUAUUGCACAAUGGGGGAAACCCUGAUGCAGCGACGCCGCGUGAGUGAAGAAGUAUUUCGGUAUGUAAAGCUCUAUCAGCAGGAAAGAAAAUGACGGUACCUGACUAAGAAGCCCCGGCUAACUACGUGCCAGCAGCCGCGGUAAUACGUAGGGGGCAAGCGUUAUCCGGAUUUACUGGGUGUAAAGGGAGCGUAGACGGUAAUGCAAGUCUGAAGUGAAAUGCGGGGGCUCAACCCCUGAACUGCUUUGGAAACUGUAAUACUAGAGUGCAGGAGAGGUAAGUGGAAUUCCUAGUGUAGCAGUGAAAUGCGUAUAUAUUAGGAGGAACACCAGUGGCGAAGGCGGCUUACUGGACUGUAACUGACGUUGAGGCUCGAAAGCGUGGGGAGCAAACAGGAUUAGAUACCCUGGUA
RNAcentral lists this ribosomal RNA (434 nucleotides) under uncultured Lachnospiraceae bacterium. RNAcentral describes it as "partial 16S ribosomal RNA". It matches the Rfam family "Bacterial small subunit ribosomal RNA", at positions 341 to 792 of the family's 1533-position model. The record is from RNAcentral. Lineage: Bacteria; Bacillati; Bacillota; Clostridia; Lachnospirales; Lachnospiraceae.